This is an RNA transcript of Exaiptasia diaphana, 702 nucleotides long. RefSeq lists it as uncharacterized. NCBI's taxonomy places the organism in Eukaryota, Metazoa, Cnidaria, Anthozoa, Actiniaria, Aiptasiidae. The record is from RefSeq and is a predicted model, not a curated record. The transcript has 6 exons.
CUAUGGCAACGUUUUCGUAAGUAGGUGUAUAUCGGCAUUGUAAACAUGCUGUGACGUCAUUAUGCACUUCCGCGUGCAUGCACGUUCUGAUGUGAUAAGACGAGUGGGGACUGGUACUGGACAAACAAAAAUGGCGGAUAUUAACCCUCGUUCAGCUGCUAUGGAGCUUUCCCAUUUGCUCGCUGAAUUUCUCAUUCGUUCAGAAGUAACCAAUUCUUACACUCUAGAUGAAUUUAGAGAAGCUUUUCCGCAAAGACACAGAGGUCAUAAGGAAGUCAAGCUAUUGUAUAAAGCUUUUCAAAUGAAACGGAUGAAGCUACGACAGGCUGUUAGAAGAAAUGUAUCGCUACAUUGUGUCCAAAGAAGCACAGCUGUUGCACAGAUUACUUGUUCCAAUGAAAAUACACCACAAAGGAAGAAUUCAGAGAAAGACCAAGAGCAAAUUUACUUGGAAAAGAAAUUGAUAUUAUUAAACAAGGACACAAGGGAAGCUGAAAAACAGUUCUUAAGGUAUUACAAAAUGUGCUACACUGUUUAAAGAAAAAGAGUUUUUAACACAUGGGAGUGCCAAAUAAUUUUGGAGCAAGAUAUCCAAGUGAUGGCAAGUGUGAUGGAGAAAUUUGACCACUAACAGCUGAGCGUCCACGUGUUCCAGUCAGAUUAGGAAAUCUCUACAAUGAUAAUAGAUUGUUAGUACUUAUU